AAACUAACAAGGAUUCCCCUAGUAGCGGCGAGCGAAGCGGGAAGAGCUCAAAUUUAUAAUCUGGCACCUUCGGUGUCCGAGUUGUAAUCUCUAGAAGUGUUUUCCGCGUUGGACCGCACACAAGUCUGUUGGAAUACAGCGGCACAGUGGUGAUACCCCCGUACACGGUGCGGACGCCCAGCGCUUUGUGAUACACUUUCAAAGAGUCGAGUUGUUUGGGAAUGCAGCUCAAAUUGGGUGGUAAAUUCCAUCUAAAGCUAAAUAUUGGCGAGAGACCGAUAGCGAACAAGUACCGUGAGGGAAAGAUGAAAAGCACUUUGGAAAGAGAGUUAACAGUACGUGAAAUUGUUGGAAGGGAAACGCUUGAAGUCAGACUUGCUUGCCGGAGCUUGCUUCGGUUUGCAGGCCAGCAUCAGUUUUUCGGGGUGGAUAAUGGCGGUUUGAAGGUAGCAGUCUCGUGCUGUGUUAUAGCUUUCCGCUGGAUACACCCUGGGGGACUGAGGAACGCAGCGUGCUUUUAGCGAAGGUUUCGACCUUUUCACGCUUAGGAUGCUGGUGGAAUGGCUUUAAACGACCCGUCUUGAAACACG
Molecule: ribosomal RNA, 590 nt
Filed under: Rhodotorula sampaioana
Lineage: Eukaryota; Fungi; Basidiomycota; Microbotryomycetes; Sporidiobolales; Sporidiobolaceae
Description: partial 26S ribosomal RNA
Rfam family: Eukaryotic large subunit ribosomal RNA
Source: RNAcentral